CCUACGGGAGGCAACAGUGAGGAAUAUUGGUCAAUGGGCGAGAGCCUGAACCAGCCAAGUCGCGUGAAGGAUGACGGCCCUACGGGUUGUAAACUUCUUUUGUCAGGGAGCAAUUGGGUCCACGCGUGGGCUUAGCGAGAGUACCUGAAGAAAAAGCAUCGGCUAACUCCGUGCCAGCAGCCGCGGUAAUACGGAGGAUGCGAGCGUUAUCCGGAUUUAUUGGGUUUAAAGGGUGCGUAGGCGGAAUAUCAAGUCAGCGGUAAAAAUUCGGGGCUCAACCCCGUCGUGCCGUUGAAACUGAUGUUCUGGAGUGGGCGAGAAGUAUGCGGAAUGCGUGGUGUAGCGGUGAAAUGCAUAGAUAUCACGCAGAACUCCGAUUGCGAAGGCAGCAUACCGGCGCCCAACUGACGCUGAAGCACGAAAGCGUGGGUAUCGAACAGGAUUAGAUACCCCAGUAGUC
This 460-nucleotide ribosomal RNA is filed under the name uncultured bacterium. RNAcentral's name for it is "partial 16S ribosomal RNA". It matches the Rfam family "Bacterial small subunit ribosomal RNA", at positions 338 to 795 of the family's 1533-position model. The record is from RNAcentral.